UGCCUUUAGUUGCCACCAGGUCAAGCUGAGCACUCUAAAGGGACUGCCGGUGAAAAACCGGAGGAAGGUGGGGAUGACGUCAAGUCCUCAUGGCCUUAAUGUCCAGGGCUACACACGUACUACAAUGGCCGGUACAAUGAGUCGCAAACCCGCGAGGGGGAGCCAAUCUCAAAAAACCGCUCUCAGUUCGGAUUGCAGUCUGCAACUCGACUGCAUGAAGCUGGAAUCGCUAGUAAUCGCUGAUCAGCAAGCAGCGGUGAAUACGUUCCCGGGCCUUGUACACACCGCCCGUCACAUCACGAAAGCCCGUUGUACUAGAAGCCGGUGAUUCGACCGCAAGGAGAUAGCCGUCCAAGGUAUGACUGGUGAUUGGGGUG
RNAcentral lists this ribosomal RNA (377 nucleotides) under uncultured soil bacterium. RNAcentral's name for it is "bacterial SSU rRNA". It matches the Rfam family "Bacterial small subunit ribosomal RNA", at positions 1106 to 1482 of the family's 1533-position model. The record is from RNAcentral.